Molecule: ribosomal RNA, 581 nt
Filed under: bacterium
Lineage: Bacteria
Description: bacterial SSU rRNA
Rfam family: Bacterial small subunit ribosomal RNA
Source: RNAcentral
GCGCCGUAGCUAACGCAUUAAGUGCCCCGCCUGGGGAGUACGGCCGCAAGGCUAAAACUCAAAGGAAUUGACGGGGGCCCGCACAAGCGGCGGAGCAUGCGGAUUAAUUCGAUGCAACGCGAAGAACCUUACCAAGGCUUGACAUACACCGGAUCGCAGCAGAGAUGUUGUUUCCUCUUUGAGGCUGGUGUACAGGUGGUGCAUGGUUGUCGUCAGCUCGUGUCGUGAGAUGUUGGGUUAAGUCCCGCAACGAGCGCAACCCUCGUUCUAUGUUGCCAGCACGUGAUGGUGGGGACUCAUAGGAGACUGCCGGGGUCAACUCGGAGGAAGGUGGGGAUGACGUCAAAUCAUCAUGCCCCUUAUGUCUUGGGCUUCACGCAUGCUACAAUGGCCGGUACAAUGGGUUGCGAUACUGUGAGGUGGAGCUAAUCCCAAAAAGCCGGUCUCAGUUCGGAUUGGGGUCUGCAACUCGACCCCAUGAAGUCGGAGUCGCUAGUAAUCGCAGAUCAGCAACGCUGCGGUGAAUACGUUCCCGGGCCUUGUACACACCGCCCGUCAAGUCACGAAAGUUGGUAACACCC